UCCAGACUCCUACGGGAGGCAGCAGUGGGGGAUAUUGGACAAUGGGGGAAACCCUGAUCCAGCGACGCCGCGUGAGUGAAGAAGUAUUUCGGUAUGUAAAGCUCUGUCAGCAGGGAAGAAAGAAAUGACGGUACCUGACCAAGAAGCCCCGGCUAACUACGUGCCAGCAGCCGCGGUAAUACGUAGGGGGCAAGCGUUAUCCGGAUUCACUGGGUGUAAAGGGAGCGUAGACGGCCAAGCAAGCCAGGGGUGAAAGCCCGGGGCCCAACCCCGGGACUGCCCUUGGAACUGCAUGGCUGGAGUGCGGGAGAGGCAGGCGGAAUUCCUGGUGUAGCGGUGAAAUGCGUAGAUAUCAGGAGGAACACCGGCGGCGAAGGCGGCCUGCUGGACCGCGACUGACGUUGAGGCUCGAAAGCGUGGGGAGCGAACAGGAUUAGAUACCCGAGUAC
Molecule: ribosomal RNA, 449 nt
Filed under: uncultured bacterium
Lineage: Bacteria
Description: bacterial SSU rRNA
Rfam family: Bacterial small subunit ribosomal RNA
Source: RNAcentral